Molecule: long non-coding RNA, 496 nt
Filed under: Gossypium raimondii (Peruvian cotton)
Lineage: Eukaryota; Viridiplantae; Streptophyta; Magnoliopsida; Malvales; Malvaceae
Description: long non-coding RNA (GRAI_LNC000567)
Source: RNAcentral
CAAAGGAUAACGUUAGGGUGUAUAGGGUAGGCUGAAACAAGAAAAAUAAAAAUCAAAGUAUAUGUGGCGUUUUGGGGGGGUAGAGGGAAUGGUAGAAUGAAUGGAUGCUCAGAAGCAACAAGAAAUAAUAACAAAAUAAAACUCACAAGACUUUUCACUCUUUUUUUUAUACUUCGAAUUUUUUUUGUUUUUUUUUCAAUCAAAUUUUUUUUUAAAUUUUUUUUGAAUUUCCUCUUCUUCUUUUUUUUUUGAUUUUUUUUCAAUUACAAUAUGCUGAAAUACAAAGGGAAGAGAAAAAAAAAUAAAAUUACAACCUAAAUUUUUUUAUUUUUCUUUCACGUUACGAACCUACUCCGAGCUUGAUACGAACGUCAGCGCUCCUCGUUUUAGUAGCUCUGAUACCAAAUGAUGCGAUCCGGCCCGAGUUAAUCGAGUCGUUUCACAUAGUUGCCCGAUCAUCGACGAGGAGUUUCGUACCAAAAGGAUGGUUUGUUUG